RNAcentral lists this ribosomal RNA (1070 nucleotides) under uncultured Bacteroidota bacterium. RNAcentral's name for it is "bacterial SSU rRNA". It matches the Rfam family "Bacterial small subunit ribosomal RNA", at positions 73 to 1143 of the family's 1533-position model. Lineage: Bacteria; Pseudomonadati; Bacteroidota. The record is from RNAcentral.
GGUCCAGCAAUGGAUGCUGACGAGUGGCGCACGGGUGCGUAACACGUAUGCAACCUACCUUUAACUGGGGGAUAGCCCCGAGAAAUCGGGAUUAAUACCCCAUAUUAUUGUGAUGAGGCAUCUCAUUGCAAUCAAAGCUCCGGCGGUUAAAGAUGGGCAUGCGCGACAUUAGCUAGUUGGUGAGGUAACGGCUCACCAAGGCUGCGAUGUCUAGGGGUUCUGAGAGGAUUCACCCCCACACUGGUACUGAGACACGGACCAGACUCCUACGGGAGGCAGCAGUAAGGAAUAUUGGUCAAUGGACGCAAGUCUGAACCAGCCAUGCCGCGUGCAGGAAGACGGCCCUACGGGUUGUAAACUGCUUUUGUACGGGAAAAAACCCCUGGUCGUGAAUCAGGGCUGAUGGUACCGUAAGAAUAAGCAUCGGCUAACUCCGUGCCAGCAGCCGCGGUAAUACGGAGGAUGCAAGCGUUAUCCGGAUUCCUUGGGUUUAAAGGGUGCGCAGGCGGAAUGAUAAGUCAGUGGUGAAAUCCUACGGCUCAACUGUAGAACUGCCAUUGAUACUGUCAUUCUUGAGUAUACUUGAAGUGGGCGGAAUGUGUCAUGUAGCGGUGAAAUGCUUAGAUAUGACAAGGAACACCGAUCGCGAAGGCAGCUCACUAAAGUAAAACUGACGCUCAGGCACGAAAGCGUGGGGAUCAAACAGGAUUAGAUACCCUGGUAGUCCACGCUGUAAACGAUGAUUACUCGAUGUUGGCGAUAUACAGUCAGCGUCUAAGCGAAAGCAUUAAGUAAUCCACCUGGGGAGUACGGCCGCAAGGUUGAAACUCAAAGGAAUUGACGGGGGCCCGCACAAGCGGAGGAGCAUGUGGUUUAAUUCGAUGAUACGCGAGGAACCUUACCUGGGCUAGAACGCUGGACGACCGUCCGGGAAACCGGAUCUCCCUUCGGGGCGGCCAGCGAGGUGCUGCAUGGUUGUCGUCAGCUCGUGCCGUGAGGUGUCGGGUUAAGUCCCAUAACGAGCGCAACCCCUAUCAUUAGUUGCCAUCAGGUCAUGCUGGGAACUCUAA